CAUGGCAGCCCUGUAAUAAUUUCCAAAAGUAUGCUGAGGCAGAGGUGGCUUGAACCUGGAACGAAGAUCCAUGAUAUAAACAACUGCGUACAACGUUUGAGCUCUUUCCCUAGGCCUUGACAAAACAAAGAUGUCCCAUAAAAAAGCAGACAAGGCCUCAACUUUUGAUGGCCGUUUCUGGGUUUUUGAGACCUUGAUGCUCUGUUCAUAUCUUGAUCUCAAAGCCUCAACCUUUGACACAUCAAACACAAACAUCUUGGUUUUGAUCUUGGUGAUAGGAAACCCUAAAUACCCAUCCAUAUUUCUUGGUGGGAAAAUUGAAGCUGCAGAAAAAUCCGGACCCACAAUAGAAUUUUUGUUCCCCGGUCCACAAUUAGAAGCAGCUGCCCAAUUGUUCACAAAUGUAAAACAUGAGAGGCCGUCUGCAAUUCUGUGUGAGAUGCAUAACCCCACAGCAAUUCCUCCACAUUCAAACACAUUGAGCUGGACACCAAGGGCUGUUUCUGUGACUUCAUCCAGCUUGAAUGGCAGCAGUUUGUGGAGCUCAGAGAGGCAAGGGUUGGUGAUGACAUCAGAGAGCAGAUGGGUUUUGACUUUAACUUCAGAAAAUGGGAUGCCUUGGUCUUGGCAGUGAACAAAAAGGUUGUUUCUGACUCUCCCAGCAAAAGGGUAGUAUUGGGUCAAGACUUUGGAUAGAGAAGUCUUGAGGAGGUUGGAGAUUUGAUGGAUGUUUGUGGAGCCAUUGAAUUCAUAAAAGUAGAGAAAAGGAACGUAGGCAUGGGGUGCUAAUUGAUCCAGAAAGGAGAGCUGGUGGUGGUGGAGAUGGUGAGGGGUUGGAGAAGAUGGUUUGAUUGUCUCUUUGGUGAUUACUUCAACUUCAAUCUUCAUCCCGAUCUUCUUUGCUAGAGAACUUUUGAUCGAUCUGUUUUGCUAUUGCUAAUUAAAUUAUGCAAAGUUGGAAUCCUUCACAGAUAAUCACUUUUUUUUUUUCUUCCCAUUUUAAUAUUUUUUGGAUAAGGUCUUGCAUUUCUCGGUGGAAUAAGAUAACCACA
This 1052-nucleotide long non-coding RNA is filed under the name Prunus dulcis (almond). Its description in RNAcentral is "sRNA ncRNA". Lineage: Eukaryota; Viridiplantae; Streptophyta; Magnoliopsida; Rosales; Rosaceae. The record is from RNAcentral.